AGCGAACGCUGGCGGCAGGCUUAACACAUGCAAGUCGAGCGGCCGUAGCAAUACGGCAGCGGCAGACGGGAGAGUAACACGUGGGAACGUACCCUUCAGUACGGAACAACCAAGGGAAACUUUGGCUAAUACCGUAUACGUCCGUAAGGAGAAAGAUUUAUCGCUGAAGGAUCGGCCCGCGUCUGAUUAGCUAGUUGGUGAGGUAACGGCUCACCAAGGCGACGAUCAGGAGCUGGUCUGAGCGGAUGAUCAGCCUCACUGGGACUGAGACACGGCGCAGACGCCUACGGGAGGCAGCAGUGGGGAAUCUUGGACAAUGGGCGCAAGCCUGAUCCAGCCAUGCCGCGUGGAUGAUGAAGGCCCUAGGGUUGUAAAGUCCUUUUAACGGGGAAGAUAAUGACGGUACCCGUAGAAUAAGCCCCGGCUAACUUCGUGCCAGCCGCCGCAGUAA
Molecule: ribosomal RNA, 451 nt
Filed under: uncultured bacterium
Lineage: Bacteria
Description: partial 16S ribosomal RNA
Rfam family: Bacterial small subunit ribosomal RNA
Source: RNAcentral